UAGGGAAUCUUCGGCAAUGGACGGAAGUCUGACCGAGCAACGCCGCGUGAGUGAAGAAUGUUUUCGGAUCGUAAAGCUCUGUUGUUAGAGAAGAACGUUGGAAGGAGUGGAAAAUCUACCAAGUGACGGUAACUAACAAGAAAGGGACGGCUAACUACGUGCCAGCAGCCGCGGUAAUACGAAGGUCCCGAGCUUUGUCCGGAUUUAUUGGGGGUAAAGCGAGCGCAGGCGGUUCUUUAAGUCUGAAGUUAAAGGCAGUGGCUUAACCAUUGUACGCUUUGGAAACUGGAGGACUUGAGUGCAGAAGUGGAGAGUGGAAUUCCAUUUGUAGCGGUGAAAUGCGUGGAUAUAUGGAGGAACACCGGUGGCGAAAGCGGCUCUCUGGUCUGUAACUGACGCUGAGGCUCGAAAGCGUGGGGAGCAAACAGG
This 429-nucleotide ribosomal RNA is filed under the name Bacillota bacterium. Its description in RNAcentral is "Firmicutes bacterium partial 16S ribosomal RNA". It matches the Rfam family "Bacterial small subunit ribosomal RNA", at positions 355 to 776 of the family's 1533-position model. Lineage: Bacteria; Bacillati; Bacillota. The record is from RNAcentral.